UGACGGACGAGUGGAAGCGGACAAAAGCUCAAAUUGUUGAAAAUCCCACGGGAAAUGUGUAAUUUGAAAGAAAGAAUGUUGGGUUCCGGCCGGCAGGGGUUAAGUCCACUGGAAAGUGGCGCCACAGAGGGUGACAGCCCCGUGAACCCCUUCAACGCCCUCAUCCCAGAUCUCCAAGAGUCGAGUUGUUUGGGAAUGCAGCUCUAAGUGGGUGGUAAAUUCCAUCUAAAGCUUAAUACCGGCGAGAGACCGAUAACGAACAAGUACAGUGAUGGAAAGAUGAAAAGCACUUUUGAAAAAGAGAAUUAAGAAGGGGAGG
Molecule: ribosomal RNA, 319 nt
Filed under: Metschnikowia pulcherrima
Lineage: Eukaryota; Fungi; Ascomycota; Pichiomycetes; Serinales; Metschnikowiaceae
Description: partial large subunit ribosomal RNA
Rfam family: Eukaryotic large subunit ribosomal RNA
Source: RNAcentral